UACGAAGGGGGCUAGCGUUGCUCGGAAUCACUGGGCGUAAAGGGUGCGUAGGCGGGUCUUUAAGUCAGGGGUGAAAUCCUGGAGCUCAACUCCAGACUGCCUUUGAUACUGAGGAUCUUGAGUUCGGGAGAGGUGAGUGGAACUGCGAGUGUAGAGGUGAAAUUCGUAGAUAUUCGCAAGAACACCAGUGGCGAAGGCGGCUGACUGGUCCGGUUCUGACGCUGAGGCGCGAAAGCGUGGGGAGCAAACAGG
This 252-nucleotide ribosomal RNA is filed under the name uncultured bacterium. RNAcentral's name for it is "partial 16S ribosomal RNA". It matches the Rfam family "Bacterial small subunit ribosomal RNA", at positions 524 to 776 of the family's 1533-position model. The record is from RNAcentral.